Molecule: long non-coding RNA, 499 nt
Organism: Rosa chinensis
Lineage: Eukaryota; Viridiplantae; Streptophyta; Magnoliopsida; Rosales; Rosaceae
Exons: 3
Source: RefSeq, a predicted model, not a curated record
CUCAUGAGGGGUUUUCUGUCGUCAUGAUAUGAAUUUUUUAGGUGCCUUCUCUAAAAAAGUUGAAGCUUAUAGUGCCAUUGAGGUUGAAAUCCUUGCUUUUUUGGAGGCCUUGAAAAUUGCAUGGAAUAAAUGGUGGAAUUAUCUAUGGCUGGAGAUAGGCUCUUUGUUGGUUAUACAUUAUUUUAAAAACCCAAGUUUGGUUCCUUGGAGAUUGCAUACUCAUUGGAGGAAUGUCUCUUAGCUUUGAUGCAUCAUCAAGAUUUUCUUACCGAGGAGCAUGACUUCUCCUCUACUUCCUCUUCUUGUUCAUUUGCUACCAUCAAAUUCGGCAAAUGACAUCUACACAAAGAAAAACUUACCAACUCAGCUCAGCUGCGAUUCUGGAACAAUUUGAUGCAUUUCCGGGUGAUAUCCAUCAUUGAUGGCUGGGGUUGGGAUCACGGCUCCACUGCCUUUGUCUUGUGAUGCCGUCUCAAUCCCCGAAAAACCAGCUUCUUUC